CCAGCCCAGCCUCCCUGUCUGGUAGCUCCAGUCUCCUCGUCCCUCCCCCAGCCUCCCUGUCUGGUAGCUCCAGUCUCCUCGUCCCUCCCCCAGCCCAGCCUCCCUGUCUGGUAGCUCCAGUCUCCUCGUCCCUCCCCCAGCCUCCCUGUCUGGUAGCUCCAGUCUCCUCGUCCCUCCCCCAGCCCAGCCUCCCUGUCUGGUAGCUCCAGUCUCCUCGUCCCUCCCCCAGCCUCCCUGUCUGGUAGCUCCAGUCCCUCGUCCCUCCCCCAGCCUCCCUGUCUGGUAGCUCCAGUCUCCUCGUGCGGAACACAGAAAACCAAAAGGUGCUACAAAAAAAGUGCAUUUUUAUAAACUGUAAUUAUUAUUAUUAUUAUUAUUAUUUUGUACAAUACUGUUCUCUUUCUGAGUCCAAAAAACAUGCAUGUGUACCAAGACUCUUAAUAAAAUGUUUUAAUAAUGUUAUAAUAAAUAAAUGUUAGUAAUACUAUAUAGAAAAUAAAUUUGCAAUAAAUAUAGUUGUUUGUUUUAAAUGUCUGUUGAGAAACAAAUUGGUAAGUAAGUAAGUAGUCCUAUGUGGUCGUUGUUUUUGGAAUACAAUGUUAAUAUCAGCAGUUGAAUACAAAUCUUCUCUAUUUUGUAAUUAUGAAGAAUCUCCUUUUGUAAAUAUUGGCCGUUAUAAAGCACUUAAAGCAUUAUUCUCCCCCUCCAAGACUAUACUCUAAUCUACUCUACAAUGAAGGGUUAUACACAUAAUAGGCCUAUAUAUAUAUGGUUUAGUAACCCUUAGUAACCAUAUAUAUAUAUAUGGUUACUAAGGGUUACUAAACCAAAUUGAACAACAACAAUCAACUCAAAGUCUAAACAGGACUUGUUCUUUCCAACUAUUAAAUCUAGUUUUUUCUUUCUUAUUUGUGCCCGCUAAAUCAAGAAGUUGAGUAAAAAUGAUGAGUAAUGUAAAAAUGUCCACAAAGCCAAUAGGUAUUGUCCUCUCAACUAAAGCUUCUUCUGCCAGAUAGAUAUGAUCCCACAGAAUGGUAUACCUCAUUCGCUCUACGUACAUCAAGUUGAGAUUCUAUAGGAUGGAUGACAAACCUUGAUGCAUAUACAAUUAAGUUAUAUAUUUAUAGUUAUAUACAAUUAAGUUUACAUAUUUGAAUGAGGAAAAUAAAAAUUCUUAUUUGUGUAGGUUCUUCAUGUCCAAUUCCUAACCGUCUGUGAAUCAUGCCAAGUAAAUGAGCUCUUUACACAGUUCAUCUGUUUUCCUGUGACAGUACUGAGGUAAUGUUUUCCUGUAACAGUACUGAGGUAAUGUUUUCCUGUAACAGUACUGAGGUAAUGUUUUCCUGUAACAGUACUGAGGUAAUGUUUUCCUGUAACAGUACUGAGGUAAUGUUUUCCUGUAACAGUACUGAGGUAAUGUUUUCCUGUAACAGUACUGAGGUAAUGUUUUCCUGUGACAGUACUGAGGUAAUGUUUUCCUGUAACAGUACUGAGGUAAUGUUUUCCUGUAACAGUACUGAGGUAAUGUUUUCCUGUAACAGUACUGAGGUAAUGUUUUCCUGUAACAGUACUGAGGUAAUGUUUUCCUGUGCUUUUGAUGGUUGAUUCAUAUUAAAACUGGAUUCUGAACAAUG
This is a long non-coding RNA of Oncorhynchus nerka (sockeye salmon), 1634 nucleotides long. RefSeq lists it as uncharacterized. The record is from RefSeq and is a predicted model, not a curated record. The transcript is spliced from 3 exons. Lineage: Eukaryota; Metazoa; Chordata; Actinopteri; Salmoniformes; Salmonidae.